This 418-nucleotide ribosomal RNA is filed under the name Amanita sp. Its description in RNAcentral is "LSU rRNA". It matches the Rfam family "Eukaryotic large subunit ribosomal RNA", at positions 507 to 924 of the family's 3401-position model. The record is from RNAcentral. Lineage: Eukaryota; Fungi; Basidiomycota; Agaricomycetes; Agaricales; Amanitaceae.
GGGGAAUGUGGCACCCNUUUGGGUGUGUUAUAGCCCUGUGUUCAAUAUACAGCAUUCGAGACUGANGNGUAGCAGCGCGCCGUAAAGGCNGGGUUUCGACCACGUUCGCGCUUAGGAUGUUGGCAUAAUGGCUUUAAGCGACCCGUCUUGAAACACGGACCAAGGAGUCUAACAUGCCUGCGAGUGUUUGGGAUUGCAAACCCUUGCGCGUAAUGAAAGUGAUAGUUGAGAUCCUCGGAUUAUGAGGAGCAUCGAUGCCCAGACCAGAACUUUUGGGACGGAUCUGCGGUAGAGCAAGCAUGUUGGGACCCGAAAGAUGGUGAACUAUGCCUGAAUAGGGCGAAGCCAGAGGAAACUCUGGUGGAGGCUCGUAGCGAUUCUGACGUGCAAAUCGAUCGUCGAAUUUGGGUAUAGGGGC